UUCUUAAUCAAAAUAUCUAUUUUUAGCUAUGGUUGUUUACAAAAUCAUCUUUUAUUACAAGGCAAGAAGUGCUUUCUGCAGUUCAAAUUCCAAGUAGAGACUUUGAAAGUAUUGCUACUUCACUUGCUGUGAAAACUGACAGAUGUUGGCAAUUCAAAUUUCCUGAUGAUCAGGAAUUUCUUGAGAGUCAUCCUGACAUUGCAGAGCGUCAAGCCAUGAAAUGGGAUCUUCGUUAUAAAAAGCUUGUUAAAGACUUGAAUAUUGGCAUGCAAGAUUCAAGUGGUAAGAGCGUUUGUAUUAAAAAAC
Non-coding RNA from Parasteatoda tepidariorum (common house spider), 306 nucleotides. Lineage: Eukaryota; Metazoa; Arthropoda; Arachnida; Araneae; Theridiidae. The record is from RefSeq and is a predicted model, not a curated record.